UGAGAACUGAAUUCCAUGGACUGGUUCCAGUUCCAUGUGUUCAGUCCAUGGUAUUCAGUUCUCUA
Molecule: microRNA precursor, 65 nt
Filed under: Columba livia (rock pigeon)
Lineage: Eukaryota; Metazoa; Chordata; Aves; Columbiformes; Columbidae
Also listed under: 1 other name
Description: Cli-Mir-146-P2_pre stem-loop
Source: RNAcentral